AGCACAGUAGCUUAAACUAAAGCUUUGGACUUUUAAUCCAAAAGAUGGAAAAACCUUGUGCUA
Molecule: transfer RNA, 63 nt
Filed under: Watersipora subtorquata
Lineage: Eukaryota; Metazoa; Bryozoa; Gymnolaemata; Cheilostomatida; Watersiporidae
Description: tRNA-Lys
Rfam family: tRNA
About the family: Transfer RNA (tRNA) molecules are approximately 80 nucleotides in length.
Source: RNAcentral